UUUAUUUAAUUCAAUUUUUGGGUGACUUAAAGUGGCAGCAGGUAGUAUAUAUUUGGCAUCAUUGGGUAAAAAUUCCAUAAUAACCUUUCAGCAUAUUGUAAUUCAUGUGUUCUGAGAGAAAACUAGACUUCUGCACCUCCUCAUGGCUCUGUUUUCAGGCUUU
Long non-coding RNA from Sebastes umbrosus (honeycomb rockfish), 163 nucleotides. RefSeq lists it as uncharacterized. The transcript is spliced from 3 exons. The record is from RefSeq and is a predicted model, not a curated record. NCBI's taxonomy places the organism in Eukaryota, Metazoa, Chordata, Actinopteri, Perciformes, Sebastidae.